AAAUAAUUUCCACUACAACAACUACUUUGCACUUGUUAUUAUCAGUUCAAAAGAACCAGAAUGCUGACUGAUAUCCAGGAAAUGACAUCACUGCUUCACAGAUGGGAGGUUUACAUUACUGAUAACACACUGCCGCUUUAAUGAAACAGUUGAGUUGAGGAGCAGGUGAGAGAACUAUAUAAAACACAGAACUCUCUUAAGUUCUUAAGUAAAUGAAAGAUGAAUGUAGAACUCUAUGCUGUUCUCUUCUCACUGGCUGUAGUGGGUGUACUCGGACAAACUGUGGAGCAAACUGAACUCCUUUGGACAAAGUCACUGAAUAAGAGAGCUUAUAUCAGCUGUAAAGUGACUGGACUUCAGAGCAGCAACUACGUCCACUGGUAUCAACAGAAAGAUGGAGAAGCUCUGAAAAGGAUCCUGUACGUUAAUAAAGAUGCCUCUAGCACUGUUCCUGAUCCCAACCAUCCUGAAGCAAAAGACUUCUCUGUGACUCUAGAGAAGGGUGAUGCAGGUGAUAAUUAUGCUCUGAAGGUGGGCUCAGUGAAGCUCAACCAUGCUGGAGUUUAUUACUGCGCUGUCUGGGACUGGAGCUCAAGCAGCCACAGUGAGAUAAACUGCUCACAUCCUGUACAAUAACUACUGUAACUCUGCCAGUGUUCAACCUGAAAGUUGCAUAGCACAAUCAAAUCCAUUUUAGUAUUCAUUGUAAAUAAACAGGCACGUCAAAUUGUAUAUUGUGCCCACCUCCUUUUUAAUGCACCCAAUGUCCAUUAUAUCAGCACCACUGUUCAUAUAGGAGCACUUUGUAGUUCUGACCCAAAGCUGGGGUCCUGGGUUCAAGUCCCUAUCUGGGUGAAGUUGCCUUGUUCUCCUUAUGCCUGUAAGGGUUUCCUCUGGGUACUCCAGUUUCCUCCCACAGUGCAAUAAAACAUGUAGGUCAGGUAAAAUGGAUAUUCGUGUUCCCCCCUACAUUUAUUUCAUUUUCUCCCCAAUUUACAAGGCCAAUUACCUCCCCCUAUCACUAGUGAAGACCCAACACAUCCUCCAAUACAUGUAAAGUCAGCCACUGCCUUUUUUUUUGGAACUGCUGCUAAUGCAGCACUGCCGAAUAGCAUCACUACUUGGGGGAAAUUCCGAUACAUCAGCUCACAGAUACCCUGUGCUGAUCAACAUCACCCUUUGGAGUGAUGUGGGAGCGAGCACCACCUACCCACCCAGAGAGAGCAAAGCCAAUUGUGCUGUCUCAGGACUCUGGUAGCCGAUGGCAAACUACAUGGUCAUGAUUGGAACCAGUGAUCUCCCGAUCAUAGUGGCAGCAUUUAGCCCGCUGGAUCACUCAGAGCC
Astyanax mexicanus (Mexican tetra) is the source of this 1344-nucleotide non-coding RNA. The record is from the annotation of a RefSeq genome assembly. Lineage: Eukaryota; Metazoa; Chordata; Actinopteri; Characiformes; Acestrorhamphidae.